UUGGUCAACUGGGCCACCGCGCACAAAACCCAUUGCAGUUGUAGCAGGGACUCUUUCCCCGUGCCACGGACGACAAUGACUGCCGACGCGGCGCUCCUCGCCAUCAUCGUCGCCUUCCUCCUCCCGCUACGCCUCGUCUCCCUCGGCCUCAGCCUGGCGUCCGGGCGUCACGGUACUAGCUCCAGACGCGUCCGCCGUUCCUGUGCCGCUUUGGCCGUCGCAGCCGCGCUCCUCGCAGUCAUCUUCGCCCUCCCGCGUGACCACGUCCGGGAGUGCGCCGCUCCGAUCGCUUCUGUCUCCAGUGCCGGGGAUGAUGACGGCGGUUUCCGCGAGGAGCUGCGGUUGGAGGUCGAGCAGCUUAAGCAGCAGCUGGCGCGGCUUGAAUCUCUUUGGGAUAGUAAAUCGAAAGCUGUGGAUGAUAAACUUGAUUCUUUAGAGGAGGAUAAUGGCCGUGUAAUGAGAGCAAUGGCACUCGAUGUCCAGUCUCUGAUCAAUGAGCGGGAAAAUAUCAAGAUUCAGGAAUCAUUAUGCAGCUCAUAUUUUGGUAACAGUAUCAAGGAAAUGGAAAAUGAGGUUCAAAUUCUAAAAGAUGGGUCAAGAAAGAUGAAUUCUGAUAUAUCAUCAGUAGCAAAGGACACGGCAGAAAAGGUCGAAGUUUUGCAUUCAGCUAUCGAGAAGGUUCAAGUUAUAGCUGAUGAAUGGGUCAAGAUGAACUAUACUAUUAACAGAAUAUGGUCAUUCACUAAGGAGACAGAGAAAAGGGUGGAAGGUCUAUAUUCAGAUUUAAUGAAGGAGAGCUGCGCAUCAUUAAAUUAACAGAAGAAAAGAGUCCAAAAUAGACCAAAGUACAAUGCCAAAAAAGGCAGAACACGAGACCACCAAACUCCUGCAGCGCACAGUACUCCAGCCUCCGUCUGCUCAUGAAAACAGCAGGACACACAAGGACACAAGGAGGCAAAUAGCAAAAGUGCCAGGCUCCACACACACCUGCUCUACACUACACACCCAGAAUAAUGGCAGCACCAAGGUCCAAGCCCUCAAGAUGCUUGGCACAGGCAAGACUCCAACAUUCUAACUCAUCUAAAAAAAUCUCUUAAUUCCGCUUAUGGAAGGUAUGACACCAUCAAAAACUGCCUUAUUAUGAUGAAGCCAUAAACACCAAGCCCCCACGAUGAUGAUACUAUUAGCUCUUCUUUUGGAUUUGUGCACUUGCUUACAUACCUUCCUCCACCACUCAGCAAAAGAAGAAUCAUUAGAAACAGGAGAGAUUAACAAGCCCCAACGAAGAAAGAAUGCAGUGCCAAAACUGUCGAGCAAAAAUGCAAUUGCAAAGGAGGUGUUGGAUAUUUUCCGGCUCUUGAUCACAUAAAGGACAAACCUCAGGAUAAUCCAACCCUCUCUUCUGCAGUCUAUCAGAUGUCCAACAUCUAUUACUAAUUGCCAACCAAAGAAAAAGUUUGCAUUUGGGUGGAGCCCAAGUCUUUCAUAAUCCCUUCCAUGGUUUAAAAGUAAUCGAACCCACGAAGAAAGCCUUAUAGCAUGAUUUAGAAGAGAACUGUCCAAGCAAGAAUGAAUCCACAUGUGUCUAUCAGCCUCAUGUGGCUUCAAGCAGACGAAGAGAAAAGUGCCGUUCUGGAGAGACUGAUGAUGCUGUGGACCUGAUGUUUGACCACUGUCAUUGACGACCCGCUUGGAAUUGACACACCGAAGCUGCUAGCAACUUAAUCCGCUUCCAUCCAGUGUUUAUAUUUUCGCGUCCUUAGUGCUUGUGAGACGUCAGUGCAAGGUUGUGGUUGAUGAGACCUUGUGCGACCCGACUUGCUAACUGUUUGCAUGCCGUCAUGGCCCCAUAAUGGGACUAUCUCUAUCUAUAGCAGCUUAUCUAUAAUUAUAUUUAAAUUACACUGUACAAAUAAUACAAUACAGCCCAAAACGGUGUAAAACGGUGUUUUUGUGACCAUAUGGUGCAAUGCUGACAUUAUAAUGUUUGUAGACUGUAAUUUGAAUAUGAGUAAAGCUCGAGAUAGUUUUAUGCGCUACCA
Zea mays is the source of this 2042-nucleotide RNA transcript. RefSeq lists it as uncharacterized. The record is from RefSeq and is marked validated. The transcript has 7 exons. NCBI's taxonomy places the organism in Eukaryota, Viridiplantae, Streptophyta, Magnoliopsida, Poales, Poaceae.